Molecule: ribosomal RNA, 429 nt
Filed under: uncultured bacterium
Lineage: Bacteria
Description: bacterial SSU rRNA
Rfam family: Bacterial small subunit ribosomal RNA
Source: RNAcentral
AACGAACGCUGGCGGCAGGCCUAACACAUGCAAGUCGAGCGCCCCGCAAGGGGAGCGGCGGACGGGUGAGUAACGCGUGGGAACGUACCCUUUGCUACGGAAUAGCCUCGGGAAACUGGGAGUAAUACCGUAUGUGCCCUUCGGGGAAGAUUUAUCGGCAAAGGAUCGGCCCGCGUUGGAUUAGGUAGUUGGUGGGGUAAUGGCCUACCAAGCCGACGAUCCAUAGCUGGUUUGAGAGGAUGAUCAGCCACACUGGGACUGAGACACGGCCCAGACUCCUACGGGAGGCAGCAGUGGGGAAUCUUAGACAAUGGGCGCAAGCCUGAUCUAGCCAUGCCGCGUGAGCGAUGAAGGCCUUAGGGUUGUAAAGCUCUUUCAGUGGGGAAGAUAAUGACUGUACCCACAGAAGAAGCCCCGGCUAACUCCGUG